GACGAACGCUGGCGGCGUGCCUAAUACAUGCAAGUCGAACGCUUCUUUCCUCCCGAGUGCUUGCACUCAAUUGGAAAGAGGAGUGGCGGACGGGUGAGUAACACGUGGGUAACCUACCCAUCAGAGGGGGAUAACACUUGGAAACAGGUGCUAAUACCGCAUAACAGUUUAUGCCGCAUGGCAUAAGAGUGAAAGGUGCUUUCGGGUGUCGCUGAUGGAUGGACCCGCGGUGCAUUAGCUAGUUGGUGAGGUAACGGCUCACCAAGGCCACGAUGCAUAGCCGACCUGAGAGGGUGAUCGGCCACACUGGGACUGAGACACGGCCCAGACUCCUACGGGAGGCAGCAGUAGGGAAUCUUCGGCAAUGGACGAAAGUCUGACCGAGCAACGCCGCGUGAGUGAAGAAGGUUUUCGGAUCGUAAAACUCUGUUGUUGGAGAAGAACAAGGACGUUAGUAACUGAACGUCCCCUGACGGUAUCUAACCAGAAAGCCGCGGCUAACUACGUGCCAGCAGCCGCGGUAAUACGUAGGUGGCAAGCGUUGUCCGGAUUUAUUGGGCGUAAAGCGAGCGCAGGCGGUUUCUUAAGUCUGAUGUGAAAGCCCCCGGCUCAACCGGGGAGGGUCAUUGGAAACUGGGAGACUUGAGUGCAGAAGAGGAGAGUGGAAUUCCAUGUGUAGCGGUGAAAUGCGUAGAUAUAUGGAGGAACACCAGUGGCGAAGGCGGCUCUCUGGUCUGUAACUGACGCUGAGGCUCGAAAGCGUGGGGAGCAAACAGG
This 777-nucleotide ribosomal RNA is filed under the name uncultured Bacilli bacterium. RNAcentral's name for it is "bacterial SSU rRNA". It matches the Rfam family "Bacterial small subunit ribosomal RNA", at positions 28 to 776 of the family's 1533-position model. Lineage: Bacteria; Bacillati; Bacillota; Bacilli. The record is from RNAcentral.